GGAUUUUGGGACGACGAUCCGGAUUUCAAAGACCGUUUACGGCCCCCUCGAGAUCUUCUUCGCGCCGUGUGGAAAUUGUCGCAGUGACGGUGGGCGCCUGUCAGCUUCCCGAUCUAGAAGAACCGCCUAGCGCCGGGAACGUGGCCAACAAGAACCGGGCCGCUCGAGACAUCUCUCGCGCCAUUGACCAUCCUCGCCAAGACCGAAGUCGCUGGUUUGCCGCGACAUCACAUCAGCCGGAUCAGCUUCCCGAUCACAAGAACGCUCGCUCGCACCGUUUGACCGUCUUCGCCAAGACCGACGUCGCUGGUGCGGCGGAUUUAACUGUUUCUUCGCGAACUUCAACGUAUUUCGUACAUUUAAAAUCACCAUCACCAAUGGUCGUUAUCUGAACCGUUUCAACGCGUAAAGAGAAUCGCUGACCUGAUCAACAAGAACCUCCUAGCGCCGGGAACGUGGCCAACAAGAACCGGGCCGCUCGAGACAUCUCUCGCGCCAUUGACCAUCCUCGCCAAGACCGAAGUCGCUGGUUUGCCGCGACAUCACAUCAGCCGGAUCAGCUUCCCGAUCACAACCAGCACGGAACCGGAUCACACUUUGGUGCUUACGGGUCAGGACCAGUACGUCAAAUUCGGCAGUUCUCAAGACCAGAAAAUCACAUUGGUGACCGGGACAGUCUUCAGCAGUGCCAUUUGAGCCUUCUCCUGCUCCUUCCUGCUGAUCAGGUCGGCUCUGACUGGUGAAAGCGGCGGCCCUGAAGGAUCGCGUGGUCGUGAGGGCCUCGGUUUAAAAAGCGAACUUGAGCAGAAAUGCGCGCGGGCAGCAACAUCAUUUCGUGUGCGGCCCGAUUGAAGGUGCGGACACCGUCCGGACGGUAUAUGUCUCUCUCUGGAAAUUGACGGAUGCGACGAAUUUCUCUAGACUUCUUAAGUCGGUCCCCGCCAAAAUUGAGAGAUUCUACGUACUCGUUUUUUGUUAAACAUACUUUAAUAAAUAAAAAUUUCGUUGUGAAUUUGUUUUCAAUUAAAUUGUAUUUAAAUCUGAUUUCAACCGAAACCCCCUCCCCCAAUAAGCGCCUAAAGAUAGGCAACCUGCAAAGCCUCUAAAUCCGGUGAAAUAUUUCGCCAUGCUCGAACUCGGCAGUUCAUGAAAAUCAUGACAUUUUAAGA
This is a long non-coding RNA of Culex quinquefasciatus (southern house mosquito), 1169 nucleotides long. RefSeq lists it as uncharacterized. The record is from RefSeq and is a predicted model, not a curated record. Lineage: Eukaryota; Metazoa; Arthropoda; Insecta; Diptera; Culicidae. The transcript has 4 exons.